Molecule: long non-coding RNA, 13310 nt
Filed under: Nicotiana tabacum (common tobacco)
Lineage: Eukaryota; Viridiplantae; Streptophyta; Magnoliopsida; Solanales; Solanaceae
Description: long non-coding RNA (NTAB_LNC011588)
Source: RNAcentral
AGCAGCUCAAACACACCUCACAUGGACCGUUGAUCACAUUUAUCAACAGUCCAGAUUAAUCAUUCUUUUCCCUUUUAAUUUUAAUUUUGCCAGUUUUAAUCUCAACCGUUGGAUCAAAAUGAUCCAACGGCCCCUAUUUUAUUCCCCAUGAUUGAAUUUCUUUUAUCUUUAGUACAAAUUUUCUGAGACGUUGAUCCAUCUCAUCCAACGGUCCACUUUUCUUCUCUCACUUAAAACAUACCAGACCCCUUAAACCCUAAUCACUCCACUCAUUUGCCAGCCACCCCAUUACCCCUUUCUCUCAUCUCUCUCUCAUCCUCUCCAACCUUUGAAUUCCCUAAAACAUAUCACAAAUGAGUGCAAAAUCACUAUAAGACCAUUGUGAGACCAUCAUCAUCAUGUUAGCCGAGAAUUCAGCUGUAAAUUAUUUCUAUUUCCAUCAUCUCUUUUAAAAUAUCAAAAUCCAAAAUCCUAGAUUCAAACAUGAAAAACAUAUGAUAUCAUCAUCGCACCUUCAUUUUUCAAAUCCUCCAUUAAAGCUCGCAUGUACCCUUCAUAUUUGGAGGAAUCUUGACCUCAACGUGACGUUUGACGACCCAGAGAUCAAACGUGGGGACCUAUGGGUAAAGGCUUUGUUCAGAGGUCAUCGGCUUCAAACGGCUAGUCUAUUUCGUCACUUUUGAGAAGGUAAAUCUUCACUCUCUUUUCCCUCUGAUUUUUUUUUAUCUUUUCCCUUGAUAUCGUCAUAAGUUCUUUCAUCGGUGCUCAUUAUUGUUCUUUAUUUUCUAUCAAUUUUGAAUUUGAGAGUUCAAAAACACAAACCCUAAAAUCCCUAAUCUUUGGCUAUAAAUAUCUGCUUUAAUGCCUUCACCUAACAAUGAAUCAACAUAAAUAAAUGCAACUACAAUAAAGCUUUAAAAUAUAUGUCUAUUUGCUCUCUUUUUUUUAAUUCUUUCAUCUCUUUCAAUUCUAGUCAAGCUAAUCUAUUCUUGAGCUGACUGUGGGCACUAGUUCCUAACGGCUAAAGUCAAGACCUUGGUUUGCUGCCCUAAGGAAGUCAGUGCGCCUUCAUUCAAUUCGUUUCAAUGAUUUAAUUUUUUCAUAACUUAUCAUGUGUAGUUAUUCUACUUGAUUUGUCUAAAGUGUGUUGAAUCUUAUAUUGGCAGCCCUGUUUUUCUCACCUAGUUAGAAUGAACAUGAUAUGAAGUAUGUUGUGAGAUUUAUUUACUUAGCAUGUUACAUGUUCAUGGUUUAACAAUGAUUUUACUUUGUUGGCUAAAACCUUUGUUGCUUUGAAGAUAUUUGUUUGCUUGUUGGUAUGUAAAUGAUACUUCUUAUCAUCAUACUACUGUUUUGUUAUGAAAGUCAUGCCUAUAAGGCUUAGUGGUCUAAGUUCACAAUAGGCUGCUGAAGUUUGUACUGCUUGGACUGUUAGUUUAAACCAUUGUUGAUUUGAGUUCCUUGUUGUCUUUACUGCAAAUCCCACCCUUUUUAUCAUAAUGUUGCCUUGUUGUAGAUACCAUACCUAUAGGGUCCUACUUAAGAUCAAAAUUUAAUCACCCUAUUCUGUUUAAUAGCUAUUAUUGUUUUCUUUGUUAGCAUGACCUUUGUGAGGUUAAUUCUAAGUCUAAAAUACUUAACCUAGGCUGCUUGAUACUCAAUGAAGUGUGAUCAUGAACUAUCCACCUGACUAUGUAUUUGUUUGUCUCUAAGUCAUUGUCCUGCAGCUGGUUUAGUUUCCUUAGAGUUUGAGUUUCUAAGGACUUAGACUCACUAAGUGUAAAGCCAUGUGUGUUAGUAUUGUGUCUUUGUCUAACCUGAGUAAGGCACUAGGCCUCUGUUGAAACCCAAUAAAUGAGUACAUGUUUGAGUGAUUAUAUUGGCUAAAACUCUGGUAAGUACCUUAGGUAAUUUGGAAUGACAUUCUAGACUUGAAAUCGUCUUUAACAUAGUAAGUAUGCCAAAAGGAGUAUACUGUUGACAAUAUUUACCUAUGUGACUCUCAUUUGACUAUGUUUGUUUGAGACAGUGAAGCUAUAUGUGUUGUUACAUAUGAAAGGAUUCUAAGUUUCCUUCUAAGCUAUUGAAACCAUUUAAGGGAUUUCUGAGACCUCAUAGCCAUAUGUGAUGAUGAUUGUGCCUUUAGCCAUGAUUAAAAUGAUGAGAAUAUUUGAAACACAAAACAUAUCUAGCAUCCUGUUAUCUGUGUCAUAAUGUUUAGAUUUAUUCUUCAUUCAUAAAAUGAUGUUCUUUGAUAUGGUGUUAUUCUAAAAUUACGUGUGCCUUCACCUCACUGAAUUCUUAAAAUAAUAUCAUGUUUACAUUAGGCCUUCUUAAAAGCUUGUUUCAUGUUGACUGUUUAGGUCUACCUGGCCAGCAAGUUUAGUUGAAGUUUUGAGUCAAUGUUUUGUAUUCAAACCUCUAUGGAAAAAUAAAGUUCAAUAGAUAAUGUCUUUGUUGUGGACCUAAUUUCACUACCAAGGGACCCACCCUAGCACAAGCACUGCUUGGGGCCCUAGAGACCCUUGUGAACUCUGAAGUGCCACGGGUUCAUAGGACAACCUUGUAAGUGAAAAGUAGUUCACUCUAACCAUUGGUUAUUGGCUUUAGUUAAUCUCUAAAGAGGUAUCACAAAUAAAAUUUGGCUUUUCUUUGUUUAUUUUAGAUCAUACUUAUGUUCGUUGUUAUGUUUCUGCUUUUGCCUUCUAUCUGCAAGUACUAAUUAAGUUCCCUCUCUUUUGCAUGAGCAUAUUGGGCCUGCUGAGUUUAUUGUAAACUCUGGCCCAAAUUCAAAUAAAUUAGGCCGCCUCUCCUCGUCGCAUCCAUGUCUGUUGAAGCCUACUACUGAUUGAAUUUAAAUUUGGCCUAAAUAAUUGCCAGCCCACCACAGAGUCCAGUUCCCUUCCUUUACUUUAUAUCACUACUGUUGUUAGCCUGUUUCUAUAUAUAUGUUGUAUUAUGAAACUAACAGUGAUGUUAUGUGAUCUUAUCUUUGUUGUGGUUGUUUAGAAAAUGAUCUUAGGAUAAUCAGAAUCUCGUAGGGUAAAAGGUAAAUAUGAUUAAGAUAACUUUUUUACUUUAUAAGGCUAAUAACCUCAAAAACCUGAAUAUGUAUCGUCAACUUUAUCAAUAAUGUUCUUUUUCAUUCACUUAUGUUUUUCUGACGAGUUUUCUUUAGAAGCGUUUGUAGAAUUAAAUCAAGUUUAAGCGAAACACUUUUGAAAAUUCUUCAGUUGAGUCACUUAGGAAAAUUUGGCACAAAACAUUUCAGAAAAGGGAUGAUUGCAUGAUUCAAAAUUGAUCUGUAGUUUUAUAAGGAUGAAAAAUUAUUUUGGGAAGUCAAAUAACUUAGACCAAAUGAGUCUUUUGAAACAGUCAAGGUAUACACGUUUUGGGUCAUAAAGGCUAGCAUUAGUAUACACAUGCAUUCUUUUAAACAAGUCAUUAUUUUGAAUAAGUCUUAUAACUUAGUUUUAAAAUUAGGCAUUCUUUUCUAAAGCUAUAAACCUAUUUUCAAAUCAAGCAUUUUUAGUAAGACAAAGCAUUUUAUCACUGUAAUUAGGCUUUCAUAUAGACCCCUUUAGCAACCUUAACAACUACUUGACUAGGAUAUAAAUAAUUCUUUCCCCAUAUUUAGCCUAAGUUUAAAGAACUACUUUAAUAUGGAUUUUAAGGGAUGCUACAUUUUCCUUAGAAUAACUAGAACUCUUACCCGAAUUCUCACUGGUUUAGCGAACCAUUAAGAUGUUGAUCUUUAUGGACUUAUAGGUAUCCUAGUAUACCUUUAAAUAUUAGGUGGCCACACUUUUUUUAUUAACCUCAAAGGAACCACAAAUUGUAUUUUGUUUUGACCUGUGCAAAAUAGGGUGCAACACCGUGCACUUCCGUUUAUAUUAUAUGGUGAGGAAGAAAGUAAAAGUACGAAGGGUGAUGCCAUGUAAUUUAUUGAAUUCACUACUUUUACUUGAUAUUUGGAAUGUGAACUUGGCUUUGUGGUUUUUGUUAAAUACUUUUGAAACAUGUUUACUCUGUGAUACUUUACUUUACGUUUCUGAUUGUUGCCCCUUUCAUAUAUCCCUAUCCCGUUUUUACUUUGGUUUCUUUACUUGUUAUUCUGUUGCUAUUGAUAUAUAACUGCAUAGGUUUAUAGCAGGUGUCUUGUCUUAGCCUUGUCACUACAUUGUUGGGGUUAGGCUCGACACUGAUUGAGUAUAUUGGAUCGAUUGUACUCAUACUAUACUUUUUCACUUUUUGUGCAGAUCCUGACAUUGGUACCAAUGGAGUUCUAAGAGGUACAUAGCAGCUACCAGGCAGUGAUUCAAAGUAGAGCUGCAUUCCGUUCGUAGGCCUUAGAAUAACUUUCCUAGUUCCUAUAUACUGUUUCCAUUUUAUUUCAGACAGUAUUGUAAUUCCUUUCCAAAUAUUGUAUUUAGUAUAAUCCCGAAGCUCAUGUACUUGUGACUUCACAUAUUGGGAUAUUCGCGUUAGAUGUUGGUUUUAGACUUAUUGUGUUUGUAUCAGAAUUGCCUUUACGUUUUGUUAUUAAUCUAUUGUCAGUCUUUUAUAGAGGUUCUUCCUAUUCAUCUCUUGUGUGUUGGCUUGCCUAGCAAGCAUUGUUAGGCGCCAUCACGACCUCGAUUGGUUGGGCUUUCGUUCGUGACAAGUUGAUAUCAGAGAAGUAGGUUGCAUAGGUCUCAUGAGUCAUGAGCAAGCUUAGUAGAGUCUUGAUGAUCGGUAUGGAGACGUAUGUACUUAUCUUCUAGAGGAUAUAUGGCUUUAGGAAAUUUCACUUUCUUUCUUUCUCUAUCGUGCAACUUUGUUCUAUCAUUGAGUUUAAAUCAAUCUUCUCUUAUUCUCUCACAAAUGGUGAGGACACGUACGACAUCCGUAGUUGACCAGGAUUCAGAGCCCCUGACUGUAGCCACUACCAGGGGUAAGGGCCAUGACCGAGGUAGAGGCAGAGCUCAGUCUAGAGCACGCGCAACGACACCUGUUGUUGAGCCUCAAAUAUAGUAGGAGGAUGAGAUCCCUAUUUCGACCGAGCCAGUUGGACCAGCUCAGGUCCCAAAGGGGUUCAUUGCUAACCCAGUGCUUCAGGACGCCUUAGUCCGCAUGGUUGGCUUGAUGGAGAGUAUGGCACAUGCUGGUGUGUUUCUUGUGGCACCAGCCAUUUCUCAGGCCGGGGGAGGAUCCCAGACUCCCGCUAAUCACACUCUAGAGCAGAUGGCUCAUAAGUAUCAGACCCCAGCAGACCUACCAGUUGGGAGAGUUCAGCCUGUUGUUGCUACACAGUCCGAGCAGAGACCCGCAAUAUCAGCUGAGGGGAUGAAGAGGUUGGACAAGUUCACCCAGUUGUUUCCCCCCUCACUUUAGUGGUAUACCUUUUGAGGACCCCAUGAUUUCUUGGACUGUUUCCACGAGAUAUUGUACAACAUAGGUAUAGUGGAGUCCAACAGAGUUGAUUUCAUAGUGUUUCAGAUGCAUGAUUCUUUCAAAAGGUGGUGGUAGUUGUAUGUACAGGGUAGGCCAACAGGUUUACCUCUUCUUACAUGGGCUCAGUUCUCGUAGUUGUUCUUAGAGAAGUCCAUCCCCUUCACCUAGGGAGAGGAGUUCUGUAGUCAGUUUGAGCGCCUUCAGCAGGGUAGCAGAUGUUACUCAGUAUGAGACCAGAUUUGUGAAUUUAUCACGCCAUGCAGCUAUCAUAAUCCCUACUGAGAGGGAGAAGGUGCGUAGUUUCAUAGAUGGCCUUAUAUAUGGCAUCAUUCUAUAGAUGGCCAGAGAGACCGAGGAUGAUAUUUCUUUCACUCGGGUAGUGGAGAUUACUAGGAGGAUCGAGCACAUCAGAGGUCAGGCUAGGGAGAUGACCUCUGACAAGAGGCCGCGUCAUUUUGGAGGAUUUAGUGGUGCCUCAUUUGGAGGCAGGGUUCUUUGGUAGAGGCCAUCCUAUCAGGUUGGUCUAGUUAGAUCUACCCAGUCAGCGACAAUGCAUAUGGAUCUCGUCCCAAGCAACUAACAUAUUGUGUUCCUUUAGCUCUGGUUAGUGCACCUCUGAUACAAAGUUAUUAAGGUGGUUAUUCAAGUCGACAAGUACAGUUCCAGGGUCAGCACUGAUGUCAGUCGAGUGCUUGUUAUACUUGUGGGGAUCUAAGGCACGCCACGAAGUUUUUCCUGAAGUCGUAGAGCAGCACGCCACAGUAGGGCACUCGUGCCAUGAUUCCAGCACUGAUGGCUUCACUACCCCACACAAUCAGCUAGAGGCGGGGGUUAGGUAGCCCAAGGUUAUGGUCAGAUAGUUAGAUGUGGAGGCCAGCCAGUGAGAGGACGUCCGAGAGGUGGAGGUUAAAUUGGUGGGGCUCGGCCCCGUUGUUAUGUAUUUCUAGCUAGACCUGAGGUAGAGUCAUCUGAUCCAGUUAUUAUAGGUAUUAUCUUAGUCUGUCAUAGAGAUGCUUCCGUGUUGUUUUAUCUGGGCUCUACAUAUUCUUAUGUGUCUUCAUAUUUUGCUUCGCAUUUGAGUAUGCCACGUGAUUCUCUUGAUGUCCCUAUUUCUGUGUCGACACCGGUUGGAGACUCUAUAGUAGUUGAUCAGGUGUAUAGGUCAUGUGUUGUUACUAUUAAUGUCUUUCAUAUUGUAGUUGAUCUUUUGUUGUUGAAUAUGGUAGAUCUUGAGGUCAUUCUUGGUAUGGAUUGGUUGUCCUGGUAUCAAGCUAUCUUGGACUAUCAUGCCAAUACUGUGACUUUAGCUAUGUCAGGGUUGCCUAGAUUAUAGUGGAGAGGGACUCACAGCCACUCCACUAGCAAGGUUGGUUUCAUAUUUGAAGUCUCGACAUAUGGUCCAGAAGGGGUGUUUGGCGUAUUUUGCUUAUAUCCAUGAUUCUAGUGCAAAGGUUCCUUUUAUGGAUUCGCUACCAGUUGUGAGUGAGUUUCCUGAGGUGUUUCCUAUAGAUUUGUCGGGUAUGCCACCCGACAGGGAUAUCAAAUUUUCCAUUGAUUUGGUUCCGGGCACUCCGCCUAUUUUUAUUCUGUUGUACCGUAUGGAUCCAACUAAGUUGAAAGAAUUAAAGGAUCAGUUGCAAUAUUUUCUUGACAAGAGAUUUAUUAUACCGAGUAUUUCACCUUAGAGUGCAUCGGUGUUGUUUUCCAAGAGAAAGGUCGGAUCAAUAAGGAUGUGCAAAGAUUAUCGGCAGUUGAACAAGGUCACCAUCAAGAACAAGUAUUUGUUGCCUAGGAUUGAUGAUUUAUUUGACUAGCUUCAGGGUGCCAAGGUGUUUUCUAAGAUUAACUUAAGAUUAGUCUACCGUCAGGUGAAGAUUAGGGCAUCGGAUAUCCCUAAGACAGCUUUUAGGACUCGAUAUGGUCAUUACGAGUUCUUGGUGAUGUUAUUUGGCUUGACUAAUGCUCCAACUGCCUUCACGGAUUUAAUGAACCGAGUGUUCAAGCCGUAUUUGGAUUCGUUCAUGAUUGUCUUCGUUGAUGUUAUUUUGGUUUACUCUCGUAGUCGAGAGGAGCAUGUGUAGCACCUAUGGAUUGUACUUCAGACUUUGAAGGAUCGUCAAUUAUAUGGAAAGUUUUUGAAGUGUGAGUUCUGGUUACACUCGAUUGCCUUUUUGGGUCAUGUUGUGUCUUUUGAGGUUAUCAAGGUGGAUCCUAAGAAGAUUGAGGCAGUUCAGAACUCGCCUAGACCUAUACAGAGAUUCAGAGCUUCUUGGAUUUGGCGGGUUACUAUUAACGAUUCGUAGAGGGGUCUUCAUUUAUCUCAGCCCCAUUGGCCAAGUUGACCCAAAAUGGUGCUCUUUUCAGAUGGUCCGACGAGCGUGAGGCGAGAUUUCAGAAGCUCAAGACUUACUUGACUACAGCCCCGGUGUUGGUGUUGCCCACAGGUUCAGAAUCUUACACUGUGUAUUAUGAUGCAUCACGUAUUAGACUUGGCACGGUAUUUAUGCAGGAUGGUAGGGUGAUUGCCUAUGCGUCUCGUUAGUUGAAGGUUCAUGAGAAGAAUUACCCUAUGCAUGAUUUGGAUAUGGCAGCCAUUGUUCACGUGCUCAAAAUUUGGAGGCACUAUCUCUACGACAUCCCAUGUGAGGUCUAUACUGACCAUCAGAGUCUCCAACUUCUAUUCAAGGUGAAGGAUCUUAAUUUACAGCAACGGAGAUGGUUAGAGUUACUGAAAUAUUAUGAUAUCACCAUAUUAUAUCAUUCGGGAAAGGCCAAUGUAGUGGCCGAUGCAUUGAGUAUGAAGGCAGAGACCAUGUGCAGUUUGGCAUUUUUACCGGCAGUGGAGAGGCUAUUAGCUAUGGAUGUUUAGGCUUUGGCCAAUCGGUUCAUAAGGUUGGAUGUUUCAGAGCCUAGUUGGGUUCUUGCUUGUGUUGUGGCACAGUCAUUAUUGUUGGAGCGUAUCAAGGCUCACCAGUUUGAUGAUCCUCGCUUGUUGGUGUUAAAAGACACGGUGCAAUGGGGUGCUGCCAAGGAGGUUGCGAUUGGAGAUGAUGGUGUUAUGCGGCUUCAGGGCUGGAUUUGUGUUUCGAAUAUUGAUGGGUUGAGAGAGUUAAUGCUUGAGGAGGCUCACAAUUCACGGUAUUCCAUUCACCCAGGUGUCACGAAAAUGUAUCGUGACUUGAAUCAGCACUAUUGUUGGUCAUGUCUCUCGGUGUUUGUAUUGUCAAAAGGUGAAGUAUGAAUAUCAGAAACUGGGUGGGUCGACUCAGAUAUUGGAGAUACCGAAGUAGAAGUAGGAGCGCAUCACUAUGGAUUUUGUGGUAGGCUUAACACAAACCUUGAGGAAAUAUGAUGUUGUUUGGGUUAUUAUGGACCGGUUGACUAAGUCCGCACACUUCAUUUCGAUGAUGACAUCCUAUUCUUCAGAGCGGUUAGCUCAGAUUUACAUCCGGGAGAUUAUCCGUUUGUACGGUGCGCCCAUUUCCAUCAAUUUAGACCGGGGCACAUAGUUCACAUCACACUUUUGGAGAGCCGUGCAGCAUGAGUUGGGCACGCAGGUCGAGCUGAGUACUACAUUUCAUCCUCAGACGGACGGAUAGUCUGAUCAUACUAUUCAUAUUUUGGAGGACAUGUUGCGAGCAUGCUCAAUGGAUUUCUUGGAUCAGUAGGACCAGUUCCUACCUUUAGUAGAGUUCUCCUACAACAAUAGCUAUUAGUCGAGCAUUCAGAUGGCUCUAUACGAGGCCUUAUAUGGGAGGCAAUGUUGAUAUCCGGUUGGUUUGUUGUGAGGCUAGAUUGUUGGGCACGGACUUGGUUCGUGAUUCUUUGGAGAAGGUAAAGAUGAUUCAGGAGCGGCUUCGUACAGCUCAGUCCGGGCAAAAGAGUUAUACGGACCAGAAGGUUUGAGAUGUGGCUUACAUGGAAGGUGAGAAGAUUCUUCUCUGAGUGUCGCCUAUGAAAGGCGUGAUGCGGUUUGGGAAUAAGGGUAAGUUGAGCCCGAGGUUUAUCGGCCAGUUAGAGAUUUUGGAUAGAGUUUGGGAGGUUUCCGGUAUUUCACAUUUCCAUGCUUCGGAAGUACCAUGAGGAUAGGUCACAUGUUUUAGACUUCAGCACAGUGCAAUUUGAUGAAAAUUUGGCCUGUGAGGAGGAGCCGGUGGCUACUCUAGACCGACAGGUUCAAAAGUUGAGAUCUAAGAGUUUUCCUUCUGUCAAAGUGCAUUCGAGAGGUCAGCUGAUUGAGGAGGCUAUGUGGGAGUCCUAGUCCGAUAUGAGGAGUAGCUACCCACAUCUUUUUACCAAACCAAGUACACUUAUAUGUAUGUUCAAGGAUGAACGUUUCUUUUAUAAGUGGAGAAUGUGAUAACCCAACAUGUCAUUUUGAGUACUAGCUCCCUUAUAUCUGUUUUGAGACCUCCCGUAGCUUUAUUUGAUAAUUUAUCAAUUGUGUGCGUGGUCUGUGUCAUUUUCUAUAAAGUUCAUAUGUGAAAAUUUAAAAAACAAAAGUGAUUUUUGUCUUUAAACACAACUAGAGUUUACCACGGUCAACAUUUAUGGUAAACGACCUCGGAUCGGUAUUUUACCGAUUUUGGUUGGUUUUACGCAUGUUUGGUUGGGAUUCCGGGUGACUCGAGGUUGUUUCGGCAAAUUAUGUGAAAAACAGGGAAAUUGAGUUGUGAACUUGAAAAUAUGAUUUUUAAUGAUUGAUUCUUGAAUUUUGAUGUUAUUUUGAUGAUUUGAGGUAGCGAGCGAGUUAGAUGUUAUUUUGGUGUUUUUAGCUUACGAUCAUGUUCGUGUUGGGAUGUUUUGGUGAGGCCCGGGGGGGCUCAGGUGAGUUUCAAGGUGGUUUUUGGCCAUUUUUGCACAAAUUGCAGCAACUGACCUUCAAAUGCUUGUGCCGGAAUGAACGGGAGACGUCCUCUUCAAGAGCACCGUAAAUAUAAGGUCCCUCUCUUAUAAAACCCUCAUAGUUAAAGGAUAAAAAUCGGAAGAAUGAAUGCCCGGAAUAAAAGUUAUCGGAUGUAAGAAAUUCCCGAACUUUAUCAAAUGGAAAAAACAUUUUUGCAAGCAAGAGAUGUCUUUUAUUUCUUAAAUUUCCAAGCUCAAUAGAAGUUUCGGCAUAGUUACACAAAAAAAAUUACAUUAAUUGGUUUUGUCGGCGGAGUCUGAAGGAAGAGAAGUCUUUGCUGCAUCUUUUGAAGAUGAAGGAUGUUCUGCAUCCAGUUCAGUACCUUCAUCCUUGUCCUUAUCUUCUUCUUUAGCUUUAUCUUCAGUUCCUGAGGAAUCAGAACAUGUGCUCGAGGAGCUUGAAGUAGUGGCCCAAGCAGGAAUGUUAUCGAGGGAGGUUAUCUCCAAUUCAAGAGCCUCAACAAUGCAGCCAUCUAUGUUUGAAAUGCCUUUUUUGGCCUCCUUCAAGGUUUUUCUCCUCAUGUGAUAAAUCACAUAAGUUUUCUCAGAGAGAAAAAAGUUUUCUUGAUCUUGGAUUUUGGCUCGAAGCUUUUAAUUUUGGAUUACAACUGUUCAUUUUCAGCCAUCACGAUGCCAUAGGUCCGACAAAUGUCAGUAUUUGUCCUCGCGUGUUCGCGGUUCUGCUCCAUGACCUUUUUGAGCCUUUCCUCCAUCCUAGCUCUUUUCUCCUCGGCAGCAGCAACCUCCUUUGUGUUGGAAUGUAAGCUUGCUUCCAAGUUACUGAUUUGUUCCAUGGAAGCAUACUCACAUUUGGCUGUCGCAGUUACAGCAUCCUGUAACGCAGCCUACUUGACCUUCAAUUCCUUGAGUUCUGUAUGCUACUAAGUGGCUUCUUGGCUGUGAACCAUCUUUUCUUGCUCAGAUUGCUCCAACCGGGCUUCAAGUUUGCCUAUCUGAGUAUGUUUUGCCUCUAAAGACGGGAGACGCUUAACGAGUUGAUCUCGUUCAACAACAAUUCGAUCUCAUUCCGCAGCAAGUACUUCUUUGGCUUGGAUCAUCUUUUGCAAGCCUUCGGAGGCAAGGAGGUUAGCAUGAAAAGUCAAAGAAUAAAGUUUUUAAGAAUAAUGUUUAGCAAGGGGAAAAAAAGAAGAAGAGUAAGACGAUACCUGAGCAGCAAAGUGUAUGCUGAUAUUGAUCAGACAUUCCGCAGAAAGAGCCUCCAUCUUUUACCGGUCUUUGUUUGAAUCCAAAGGCUUCAAGUAGUUGGCAACUCCCACCGGCUUGGAGAGUAAGUGGCACUCAUUCGAAACCGAAAGAAUGACACUGCAUUUACCAUCGGGGUUUUGGAUAGGUGCCAGGAAAGUGUUCUCAAUGUUCCCAUGAUCGGGUGACCAAGGGAACGAACACCUUCCAUUUGUUCAGGUGGGUCCGGUGGUGAGGCAGGAGCUGAUGAUACUGCAGCUGGUGAUGAAGUAGGAGAAGGAGGAAUAUCAGAGGUAGAACUCCCCUGACCGGAAGCAACAAUUGGAGCUCAAAAAUGGGACUCUGCAUUUUCAACCAUUUCCAUUUCUGUAAAGAUCCCUCGAAUGACCAGUGGUUGAGUGUCCGGUUAAGUAGGGGAAGUUUUUCUUUAUCUUUGAAGAGAAACCGCUUCUUCAUCAUCCUCGAUUUCUUCUUCAUCAAGGACCAAUCUGACCGGUCCUACCGGGGUUUCUUCUGUGGAAGGCUUCUCCUGAAUCUCAGCCUUAGAGGUACGUCUUCUUUUUUAUUUUUUCUCUUUAGGCUGGGGACUUAGAGAAGAUGGGCCUUCACCGAAAGCAAGAGCGGCAUCAUGAGCCCUCUUUCGAUCAAUGGCUGAUCGAAUCCGUCGAUGAGCAACCAUUGGGUCAUUAGAAACCUCAACAACAUGGCAUAAAGAAGAUCCCUUCGGAAGGCCUGUGUAUUAUGAAAGGGAGUUAGCAAAUUUGUACUAGGUUAUGUUGGGGAUUAAAAAGGAAAAAGAGAAGUUUACGUACCAUUGUUCUUGGCCUUCCAGUUGAAUUUGGGUGAAAUUUCUUUCCACUUACGAGAGUCUGUGUGAAAGUAUCUAAAAUCUUUUGUACCCAUUGGGUCAGGUUCUGAACCGAUAGUGGAACCCAACGGGUAGCUGAAAUAAGAGAAAUAAAAGUUAGUAAAGGAGGAAUUUUCUUUAACAAAGUAGGAAAAGAAUAUUUGAAAAACUUACAAGUAAAGUUCCAGGAUUCAUGGAUAGGAGGUAUUUUCGCCGGAAGAAUGUCCCCGAUAGCAAUGACAACGAACUUUUCCAUCCAACCAUGAUCAUUAUCAUGAUCAACACUGGUGAUGAUGGCAUGAUGACCUCAUUUACUAAGUUUGAUCAUGCUUCCUCGAAAAAUCUUUGCGGAGUAGAGGUUGAUCAUAUGAGCAAGAGUGUGGGUUUCACUAGCCCGGGAACACAGUACCUUAAGGCAAAAUAUUGUCUGCCAAAUUAAUGGACCUACCAGAGCCAAACAAAUUUGGUAGUUAUGGCAAAACUCUAAAAUAAUGGGAUCAAUUUUUCGGCGAUACUUAAAGUAAAAGGGUACGUAAAAAUGUACAUGAACUCUAGUUUGCUGAAGAUGACCCUUUCCACUUUAUUUGGGGCUAAAACUUUAAUAUUUUUCCAAUCACAAUCUUCUUUAACAACAGGGAUACUAGCAGGACAUAUGGAAGGACAUUUGCUGACGGGCCAAUUUCUAUCAUUUUUAGGAUUGAUAGGUUCCUUUUGUACUUGAAGAUCCGUUCAGAAUUUAGUUGAGAGGGGAUGAUUGUGUUGGUAGUAGGAGGACCGGCAUUGGCUUUCUUGGUUUUGUUCUUCUUAAAAGGGACACAUCGAUGUAAAUGCUUGCGUUUCCAGGGAAAGAGGUAGUAGAAGACAUGAUGAUGGAAAAACUUGAGUAUGAGGAUUUUACUGAGAAAGAGAGGUUUGUAAAAAA